This 497-nucleotide ribosomal RNA is filed under the name uncultured bacterium. Its description in RNAcentral is "partial 16S ribosomal RNA". It matches the Rfam family "Bacterial small subunit ribosomal RNA", at positions 29 to 507 of the family's 1533-position model. The record is from RNAcentral.
AAUGAACGCUGGCGGCGUGCCUAAUACAUGCAAGUCGAGCGAACAGACGAGGAGCUUGCUCCUCUGACGUUAGCGGCGGACGGGUGAGUAACACGUGGAUAACCUACCUAUAAGACUGGGAUAACUUCGGGAAACCGGAGCUAAUACCGGAUAAUAUAUUGAACCGCAUGGCUCAAUAGUGAAAGACGGUUUUGCUGUCACUUAUAGAUGGAUCCGCGCCGCAUUAGCUAGUUGGUAAGGUAACGGCUUACCAAGGCGACGAUGCGUAGCCGACCUGAGAGGGUGAUCGGCCACACUGGAACUGAGACACGGUCCAGACUCCUACGGGAGGCAGCAGUAGGGAAUCUUCCGCAAUGGGCGAAAGCCUGACGGAGCAACGCCGCGUGAGUGAUGAAGGUCUUCGGAUCGUAAAACUCUGUUAUUAGGGAAGAACAAAUGUGUAAGUAACUAUGCACGUCUUGACGGUACCUAAUCAGAAAGCCACGGCUAACUACGUG